UACGGAGGGUGCGAGCGUUGUCCGGAAUCACUGGGCGUAAAGGGCGCGUAGGCGGCUCAUUAAGUUGCCGGUGAAAUCCCGGGGCUCAACUCCGGGAAGUCUGGUAAGACUGAUGGGCUCGAGCACGGUAGAGGCAGAUGGAAUUCCCGGUGUAGCGGUGGAAUGCGUAGAGAUCGGGAAGAACACCAGUGGCGAAGGCGGUCUGCUGGGCCGUUGCUGACGCUGAGGCGCGACAGCGUGGGGAGCAAACAGGAUUAGAAACCCCCGUAGUCC
Molecule: ribosomal RNA, 273 nt
Filed under: uncultured bacterium
Lineage: Bacteria
Description: partial 16S ribosomal RNA
Rfam family: Bacterial small subunit ribosomal RNA
Source: RNAcentral